GAUCUUCCUGGACCAGGGCUCGAACCCAUGUUCCCUUCUUUGGCAGGCGGAUUCUUAACCACUGUGCAAACAGGGAAGUCCCUGCCUGAUGUUUUCUGAUUCAGGUCAACAUAAGCUCCUUUCUGGUGCUUUCCCUGAAGCCUUGAUUUGAACUUGUUCUUUAGUGUUCUCAAAGCGUCUAUAUAUUUCUCUAUUAUUCUGCCGUAUCAUACUGUGUUAGUUUUAGGCUUUGUGAGGAGAGGUUCAGAGUAGGUUUUGCCCUAGAAUGUGGUCUUUACUCCUGAAGGCCUUUCUAGUGUCUGCUGGUCUGUGUUGUUAAUGUGAUUUCUUCACUUUGGCAGAG
Long non-coding RNA from Aethalodelphis obliquidens (Pacific white-sided dolphin), 343 nucleotides. RefSeq lists it as uncharacterized. The transcript has 2 exons. Lineage: Eukaryota; Metazoa; Chordata; Mammalia; Artiodactyla; Delphinidae. The record is from RefSeq and is a predicted model, not a curated record.